GCAAGGUUAGAAAGUCAUUAUGAUAACAGUCACUCAGCAUUAUCACACCUUUUUCAAAAUGUAUUUAAAUAAAGAAAGCAUGCAUAUAGUACACAUCUGGAAUCUCCAACGAGCGGCAACACAAGCUGUCGUCUGAGCUCAUCUUGAUUGUCUAAAAGCUUGUCGUAAACAGGAAUCUAUUACACUUUAACCUUACCUUCCAUUUGACGUGAGUGUGUUACAAGCUGUGGUUCUGUAACUUUGUUACUUUUGAAUUUUCUUGAUCUAAAACUGAAUGUAAAAAAAACCUGUCUGAUUUACUUUAAAUGCUCUGUGUUGUUGUGUCGUUUGCAUGAGGUGUUAACAGGGGUCUUUCAGCGACGAGGUCAUUGUCAUCUUGUAGUUCAAAUGCAUUCCAUGGAUGAUUCAUUUUCUUUCUUUUCUUUUUAAAAUAGGAGCAAGGUGGGGGGGAGAAGAGAGCUCUAUUUAACACCUCUGCUAACCAACUUCCUGGGGGAAAACCUAAAAACUAUUAAGAAUUUCACAAGAAAAUGGUCAGGUUCAGAGAAGUUCAAAAUGAGUGCAUGUAGCAGAUUUCCUUAAUUCUUGCAUAAAAUUGAUGACAGCUUGUGUUUCCUGCCCAGUCUGAUUCUUAAGAACCGGGAGGUGAUUACAAACUUAUUGAUGCUAAAAAAGAACUGAAUUAAAAUAAACCAGAAUUGUCCUUUAAAACUGCAUCCUGAGGUUUACAGUAACUUCAGAGCAGUUCUUGACCAUUAAAUCGAAGAGGGCUUUCAUGGCUCCAGAGUAUUCUAUAUACUGUCUGUACAGUUUGUAACUAUAUCACUCUGUGUACAAUAUUUAAAGCUGUGUAUAGACAGAAUUUUUGCAAGUGUGUAAUACUAAUGAAACAUGUACUCUAUUACUCAACAACUUCAAAUUGGAGUGUCUGUAAAUCAGUAUAUACACAUAAUCCUAAUCAACACCACACUAAAUGUGAAUUAUAUGUGAGUUACAUGCCAGUACUACCCUACAACUUUACUCACUACUUACUUUUACUCACUAAGUAGCGGUACUUUCUAUAUUCAAGUGAUAUCCAAAAACACGGUUGCAGCUUUCAGAGAAAAACCUGUGUUUGUCUUAAAGUUUCGGUCCUUACAGAAACUUUUUGACACAUUUUUUUCCGACUUGACUGAUAAUUCAGCAACGGCACGAGAAUCAAAACAUGCACAGCUGUUUGUCUUUGUGGAGGAAGAUGAUGCGACGUUGCAUCAUAAAGUAUUUGUGCAGCAGUAGAAAACUGCAAACCAGUACAGUAGUACAUGAUAAACUUUAAUGUAAAGGGGACCUAUUAUGCUUAUCCUUUUUUUUAUGGGAUAGUGGAUGUUCAUCUUUAAACGUGACCAAAGUUUCAAAUAAUGAGGUCUGUGUAGGUACAAGAAAUCCCUUCGAGCAGAAAGCUCAGGCAUUUCAGCAAGGCACCUUUAGUUUUUGAGGGGCAGCCAAUCAACAGAAAGCUGCUUUAAAGUGUGCAGGACAGGAUGUAAUGGCAUCGUUUCAGAUAGAAGUCCAGUAUAAAGUGAAUUUUAAUGAAGGGUCAAUCAUGCAAUGUUACUCCAGUAGAGUCCAAAAUAGCAUAAUAUGUCCCCUUUUAGUUAAAACAUGAUUAAAUCACUAAGAUGUGUACUUUUUCUUACGACUGAGGACCUAUGUUGGCUCAGAACCAAAGAAAAUAAUUUCCUGUCGUUUCAAAAACUGAGGGUUUGCUUGGCAGGUAGUUCAUGUCAUGUAUGGGAAGAUGCUGCACUGUGGUUCAUGCUGUCUUGUGCUCAACCACAAACGUUUUGGCCAGCAGCAGCGGUGCAGAAUGAUCACACCCUGCAUGAGUUCACAAUGCGAUGCACACGGAUGUUCACACAACAACACAUUCGCGCGUGUACGAGCCGCCCCGAGGCCCACCGAGUGAAGUUUAGGAUCGCUGGUUCAGGGUUUUAAAUGUUUAAUUUCUGGUUUUUGUUUCCACCAGCUGCCAUGGUUUAAAAAGUCAACGUCAAAAGCUAAAAUCAUAGCGCUUUCUUCUUAUUUCUCGUGUUUUAACAGCAAACUGGCUCCUUUGGUUUACUCAGGAGACUAACAAAGACAGACAAAAAGAUCAGCUUUGCCAGCAUUAAAGAUUAAAUAGAUUUCUUUGUCAUGAAAUCUCAGUCUAAAUUUCUUUCAGAUUUACUCAGGAGACACAUAGCUAGCUCCACUUGCCCAUGAGUAACUAUGUGAGUCAGGCUGUCUAAAUACGAAACCUUCAUUGCACAUGGAGACCUCGGCACUAAUGAACUCUCCGCAACACUAAUGAGAACUAAUAUUUAUGUGUUUAAGUAAUGUGUGGUGGAGCAACACUGCUGGCAUUCAACAAGUUUAAUGAACACAAAGAAAACAACCACAGAGCCACACAAAGAGACCGCUUUUCUUUCUCCAUCUCAAUCUCUCUGUUUGUAAAUAUUCCACUAAAUAAACUGAAACUUGCACUGAAA
Long non-coding RNA from Astatotilapia calliptera (eastern happy), 2507 nucleotides. NCBI's taxonomy places the organism in Eukaryota, Metazoa, Chordata, Actinopteri, Cichliformes, Cichlidae. The record is from Ensembl.